Molecule: ribosomal RNA, 397 nt
Filed under: uncultured bacterium
Lineage: Bacteria
Description: partial 16S ribosomal RNA
Rfam family: Bacterial small subunit ribosomal RNA
Source: RNAcentral
GAUAUUGCACAAUGGAGGGAACUCUGAUGCAGCGAUGCCGCGUGGAGGAAGAAGGUUUUCGGAUUGUAAACUCCUGUCUUCGGGGACGAUAAUGACGGUACCCGAAGAGGAAGCUCCGGCUAACUACGUGCCAGCAACCGCGGUAAUACGUAGGGAGCAAGCGUUGUCCGGAAUUACUGGGUGUAAAGGGAGCGUAGGCGGGAUAGCAAGUCAGGUGUGAAAACUAUGGGCUCAACCCAUAGAUUGCACUUGAAACUGCUGUUCUUGAGUGAAGUAGAGGUAAGCGGAAUUCCUAGUGUAGCGGUGAAAUGCGUAGAUAUUAGGAGGAACAUCAGUGGCGAAGGCGGCUUACUGGGCUUUUACUGACGCUGAGGCUCGAAAGCGUGGGGAGCAAACA